This is a small nuclear RNA of Nomascus leucogenys (northern white-cheeked gibbon), 107 nucleotides long. The record is from Ensembl. Lineage: Eukaryota; Metazoa; Chordata; Mammalia; Primates; Hylobatidae.
UUGCUCGCUUUGGUAGUACAUGUACUAUAAUUGGAAUGAUACGGAGAAGAUUAGCAUGGCCUCUGUGCAAGGAUGACAUGCAAAUUUGUGAAGCAUUUCGUAUUUUU